AGCGGUCCCGCGUUAGUGACCUACCAGCCAAUCAGAAAAUAGGACGUCUUGUUGCUGGGCAAUUUUUUUUCCCCGCUGCGUGCUCGUUCCGUGGAUGCGCGUGCACGCACAGGUUGCAGACGAGUUGGAAAAGCAAAGCAAGGUAUACGGUUUCCUGAACUGCUUCCAUUCCACGGACCCCAAGAGCAUGAUCAGCUCAGUGAGGAGUUCCUGGACUAUCAACUGAUGGACAUCCCUAUGACCCAAGACCCAGCCACGUUUGACACUGAGGCUUUCUGGGGGAAUAUGUCAUCACUGAAGAACAGGGUGACUGGUUUGAGCAGAUUUGGACGGCUGUCUGAGAUUGCCAAACUGGUGUUAGUGCUUCCACACUCCAAUGCAGAUGCGGAGAGAGUGUUCUCCAUGGUGGAACUGAACAAAACCAAAACAAGGAACAGUUUGGCCCUGGAUGGAACGCUCUCAUCCAUCAUGACUGUGAACAUGGCUGGCCAUUCAUAAACUGAAAUCCGCGCAUUCACACACACACACACACACACACACACACACACACACACACACACACACACACACACACACACACACACACACACACACACACACACACACACAC
Cololabis saira (Pacific saury) is the source of this 610-nucleotide long non-coding RNA. RefSeq lists it as uncharacterized. The transcript is spliced from 3 exons. NCBI's taxonomy places the organism in Eukaryota, Metazoa, Chordata, Actinopteri, Beloniformes, Belonidae. The record is from RefSeq and is a predicted model, not a curated record.